RNAcentral lists this long non-coding RNA (594 nucleotides) under Oryza sativa Indica Group (long-grained rice). RNAcentral's name for it is "lncRNA OsPr106_04g0024120". Lineage: Eukaryota; Viridiplantae; Streptophyta; Magnoliopsida; Poales; Poaceae. The record is from RNAcentral.
AUGGUGAAGGUCUCGUGGCUGCAUUCCGCCACCAACACUGCACCAUGGUUGUGCCACAAUUGCGGAUUUAAGGGGUGUCCGCAACACGGCCCCGCAGCUUCUCAACGGUCUCCUUGUUGCCUUCUCCGAGUGGUGAUGGAUGUGAAGUGGGAAACGGAGCCGCGGAGGGAGCUCCUGAAGGAUUGCCUCAAGGUGGAAGCCAAGGACUCGGAGGUCGUGGAGGCGGACGCGGACGAGACGGCGGCGGUCACGGAGACGAGGCGAUGCGCGGACGAGUGGCGGCAGCCGGUCGUGGACGAGGCGAUGCGAGGCAUAGACGAGCGGCAGCCAGUCCCGGAGGCGAUGAGGCGCGGACGAGCAACAACGUCACGGAGGUGGAGGGAGCAGGCGGAGGAAGACGGAGCGGCACCGGGGGUGGGAGCAGGCGGAGGAGGGACGGGCGGGCGGCCAUGGCGGUGCCGCGGCGGAGCCAAGCGAGAGGCUGCGGGAGCUGACGACGAGCGGCGGCGGUCGGUCGCGGAGGCGGUCGCGGACGAGGCGACGGCCGGUCGUGGAGGCGGAGGUUGGACGCGGACGAGGCGGUGGCGGUCGCGG